RNAcentral lists this ribosomal RNA (372 nucleotides) under uncultured organism. RNAcentral describes it as "partial 16S ribosomal RNA". It matches the Rfam family "Bacterial small subunit ribosomal RNA", at positions 527 to 896 of the family's 1533-position model. The record is from RNAcentral.
GUAGGUGGCAAGCGUUGUCCGGAAUUAUUGGGCGUAAAGCGCGCGCAGGCGGUUCUUUAAGUCUGAUGUGAAAGCCCACGGCUCAACCGUGGAGGGUCAUUGGAAACUGGAGAACUUGAGUACAGAAGAGGAAAGCGGAAUUCCACGUGUAGCGGUGAAAUGCGUAGAGAUGUGGAGGAACACCAGUGGCGAAGGCGGCUUUCUGGUCUGUAACUGACGCUGAGGCGCGAAAGCGUGGGGAGCAAACAGGAUUAGAUACCCUGGUAGUCCACGCCGUAAACGAUGAGUGCUAAUGUUAGGGGGUUUUCCGCCCCCCUUAGUGCUGCAGCUAACGCAUUAAGCACUCCGCCUGGGAGUACGGCCGCAAGGCUG